AUACGGAGGAUCCGAGCGUUAUCCGGAUUUAUUGGGUUUAAAGGGUGCGCAGGCGGGAGAUUAAGUCGGCGGUGAAAUUUUGCAGGUCAACUGUAAAAGUGCCUUCGAAACCGGGUUCCUUGAGUGUAGAUGAAGUAGGCGGAAUUUGUGGUGUAGCGGGGAAAUGCAUAGAUAUCACGAGGAACUCCGAUUGGGCAGGCAGCUUACUAAACUACUACUGACGCUCAGGCACGAAGGCGUGGGGAUCAAACAGGAUUAGAUACCCUGGUAGUCCACGCAGUAAACGAUGAUUACUAGCUGUUUGCGAUACAAUGUAAGCGGCUGAGCGAAAGCGUUAAGUAAUCCACCUGGGGAGUACGUUCGCAAGAAUGAAACUCAAAGGAAUUGACGGGG
RNAcentral lists this ribosomal RNA (393 nucleotides) under uncultured bacterium. Its description in RNAcentral is "partial 16S ribosomal RNA". It matches the Rfam family "Bacterial small subunit ribosomal RNA", at positions 523 to 918 of the family's 1533-position model. The record is from RNAcentral.